UGCGCAGUCGGCUAAUUAAGUUUGUGGUGAAAGUGCGGGGCUUAACUCCGUAUAGCCAUGAAAACUGGUAAGCUAGAGUGCAGAAGGGGGUAGUGGAAUUCCAUGUGUAGCGGUAAAAUGCGUAGAUAUAUGGAGGAACACCAGUGGCGAAGGCGGCUACCUGGUCUGUAACUGACGAUGAGGCACGAAAGCGUGGGGAGCAAAUA
This 206-nucleotide ribosomal RNA is filed under the name uncultured bacterium. RNAcentral's name for it is "partial 16S ribosomal RNA". It matches the Rfam family "Bacterial small subunit ribosomal RNA", at positions 568 to 774 of the family's 1533-position model. The record is from RNAcentral.